RNAcentral lists this ribosomal RNA (165 nucleotides) under uncultured bacterium. Its description in RNAcentral is "partial 16S rRNA". It matches the Rfam family "Bacterial small subunit ribosomal RNA", at positions 354 to 511 of the family's 1533-position model. The record is from RNAcentral.
UAGGGGAAUCUUCCACAAUGGACGAAAGUCUGAUGGAGCAACGCCGCGUGAGUGAAGAAGGGUUUCGGCUCGUAAAACUCUGUUGUUAAAGAAGAACAUAUCUGAGAGUAACUGUUCAGGUAUUGACGGUAUUUAACCAGAAAGCCACGGCUAACUACGUGCUAG